AUACGUAGGGUGCAAACGUUAAUCGGAAUUACUGGGCGUAAAGCGUGCGCAGGCGGUUUUGUAAGACAGUGGUGAAAUCCCCGGGCUCAACCCGGGAACUGCAUUCCAAACUGGGAAUCUAAAGGGCGGGAGGGGAAAGGGGAAUUCCUAGGGUAGGGGGGAAAUGGGUAGAUAUUAGGAGGAACACCAGUGGCGAAGGGGGCUUUCUGGACUGUAACGGACGCUGAGGCAGGAAAGCGUGGGUAGCAAACAGGAUUAGAUACCCUGGUAGUCCACGCCGUAAACGAUGGGUACUAGGUGUAGGAGGUAUCGACCCCUUCUGUGCCGUCGUUAACACAAUAAGUACCCCGCCUGGGGAGUACGGUCGCAAGACUAAAACUCAAAGGAAUUGACGGGG
Molecule: ribosomal RNA, 397 nt
Filed under: uncultured bacterium
Lineage: Bacteria
Description: partial 16S ribosomal RNA
Rfam family: Bacterial small subunit ribosomal RNA
Source: RNAcentral